This is a long non-coding RNA of Callorhinchus milii (elephant shark), 1009 nucleotides long. RefSeq lists it as uncharacterized. The record is from RefSeq and is a predicted model, not a curated record. The transcript has 3 exons. NCBI's taxonomy places the organism in Eukaryota, Metazoa, Chordata, Chondrichthyes, Chimaeriformes, Callorhinchidae.
GUGGAGAGGAAAAGAGGAGAAAAGGAGAGAGAGAGAGAGAGAGAGAUAUAGAAACGUGCAAUGUCUUGGGAGUAACCAGGAAGUGAUUGCACUAACAGAGAGAGAGAGAGAGAAAAAAUACAGAGAGCAUUGACCGACUGCAAAAUAAACUACUUGAUCAAGAAAAUCCGACAGAAAGAAACAAAACCAGGCUCCUCGACAUUUGUACCCUACUCCUGAUGGAUAAUCCUAGACGGAUGUGUGCAUCUUACCAGCAAUAAUAAAUUGUGCGUUCCAUUCACAAGAGAAGUUUCGGAUCAGGAAGGGGGAAUGCAAGACACCUGAGCCAGUCAAAUAUCCGCCGCAGGGGGAAUGAAAAAUGAAAGGCGAGUCAAUCAAUGUCAGUUUCAUGGAACAACUUACACCUAUACAGUUUCCUUUGUACCAUGUUAAAAGGAAUGUUGUGAAGUGUUUUACAAAAUGAACCGUGAAUAGAAAUGCAUCACACAGAAAACAGAUCUGCGUUUAAGAAUGCUAAUAGAUUGCAUAUAAGAACCGCAAAUGCGGCUGAACAACUUGCAGUGCACCUCAAUCACUUUUACUAAUUUAGCACCACAAAACAUUCACAUGGAGGUUAGGUUUUAGGAGGCAGAUCUCGCCAACUGUCAUCCUUUGAUUAUGAAUGCAAUUAUAGACUACAAGGCAACUUGGCAAACUACUGAAUUUUGUUGAAUAUCAUAAAAUCCAGUGGUUAAACCAGUGCAGGAAAUUGGCUGAGAUUAAGACUGCUACAUUGGUUAGUCACACAUUGGUAAAAUACAAGAUUAUAUGACUGAUGUCUGAUGUGACUAAUGUCAGGCAUUGGAUUUUAUGUUAAUAACCAACAAAAAAUUAAUUUUUACCAUGCAAUCCACCUGCUAGUGACGCACUAAAAAAAGUUAAACAAUCUCAGCGCAAUCUAAGCUCAGCACUGGAGAAUAUUUACAACCAUCCAUUGUAAUCUCUGACUUCAAUAAAAUAAUCAGACCUG